RNAcentral lists this long non-coding RNA (984 nucleotides) under Sorghum bicolor (sorghum). RNAcentral's name for it is "long non-coding RNA (SBIC_LNC016394)". The record is from RNAcentral. Lineage: Eukaryota; Viridiplantae; Streptophyta; Magnoliopsida; Poales; Poaceae.
GAUCCUUACCAAGGCAGUGAUGGUAUAUGCCUUCUCUCAAAAUAUGUAGUAUUUGUGGUAUAAGGCAUAGUGACAUUGCCUUCUCUCUCACUCGACUCUAAUAAGGCUUUGAUAUCUGGAGCUCAUAGGUGGGAGAUAAAGUAUACAUACUUACAAGACAUUUAUUGUUUAGUCAAAUAAUGGAUCCAAAGAAACAAGUCAAUAAGUCAAAUCAAGAUGUGCAUGUGUGGCGAAUGAAUGGUAUAUGGUGAUGAUGGUGAUAACAAUGGUAAAAGUCUAAUUCUACUUUUGCUCUUUUGAGGGGAUACAUACCUUUCUUGCUCUUUUGAAACUUGAGGAAAAUGAGAUGCUCUAUAUUUUCUUUUUCUUUCCUCUCAGGUGGGUAUCUUGUACCCCUAAUUCUACUGUCGGACACUUGUCCAUUUUUACCUUUUGUCUCACUUUUUCUUUUCUUUCGAGGUUCCGGGCACUUGCCCCUUUUCAUUUCCUCGUAUCUUUUUUUUAGAGCACUCAUCUCCUGAAAUAAUAUAGCAAGUGGUAGUAACCAAGAUAACUUGUGCAUUUAUUUCACAGGGGAAAACAGAAAUAUUUUUGGUUAUCCUCUCCCGGAUUAGGAGUUGAAUAUUUUUGGUUGGUUGUGGAGAUGGAAAUGGGUGGAUAUAUGUAGAUGCGUACUUCCGGAGUGGAAGCAGUAUGUGUGAAUGAACGUGCAAGUGAAUCUUGAUUUAACCACAUGACAAGCUCCUAAGGGUCUGCACAGCUUGACCACACUCAAUGCUCAUAAGCAGUAAAAAGUAAAUGUGUGGCUCAAAGUCUAGCAAGCAUGUAUAUAUGGCUGUGGUAGGAAUUUAAACUCUCAUCCUACAGGAACUCAUCAUGUGAUAUUUAAAAGAUUUUAAAAGAUAAAAUUCUCCAAAAUUCUAGCAUCUCUAGGAACAGAUAAACAGCGGCUCAACCUUCCCAUAUCAUAUUCGUUAACAACUU